AAGCAGGGGAUCGCAAGACCUUGCGCUUUUGGAGCGGCCGAUGUCUGAUUAGCUAGUUGGUAGGGUAAAGGCUUACCAAGGCAACGAUCAGUAGUUGGUCUGAGAGGACGACCAGCCACACUGGGACUGAGACACGGCCCAGACUCCUACGGGAGGCAGCAGUGGGGAAUUUUGGACAAUGGGCGAAAGCCUGAUCCAGCCAUGCCGCGUGAGUGAAGAAGGCCUUCGGGUUGUAAAGCUCUUUCAGUCGAGAAGAAAAAAUUGCGACUAAUAAUCGCGACUCAUGACGGUAUCGACAGAAGAAGCACCGGCUAACUACGUGCCAGCAGCCGCGGUAAUACGUAGGGUGCGAGCGUUAAUCGGAAUUACUGGGCGUAAAGGGUGCGCAGGCGGCUUUGUAAGUCAGAUGUGAAAUCCCCGGGCUUAACCUGGGAAUUGCGUUUGAAACUACAAAGCUAGAGU
This 462-nucleotide ribosomal RNA is filed under the name uncultured ammonia-oxidizing beta proteobacterium. RNAcentral's name for it is "bacterial SSU rRNA". It matches the Rfam family "Bacterial small subunit ribosomal RNA", at positions 202 to 647 of the family's 1533-position model. Lineage: Bacteria; Pseudomonadati; Pseudomonadota; Betaproteobacteria. The record is from RNAcentral.